UGCCCAGCAACUCCUAUCCCUACCUCCUCGCGGUACCGGUCGGAAACUAUGAGCAACCUUAGGGAAGAUCGGGUAACCAACCCCGGUGAGAACUUUGGUCAUAGGCUGACAGGGAAGG
Molecule: non-coding RNA, 118 nt
Organism: Aedes albopictus (Asian tiger mosquito)
Lineage: Eukaryota; Metazoa; Arthropoda; Insecta; Diptera; Culicidae
Source: Rfam